GUGCUUACUUCAGCACGUACAUUAAAACUGAACUGACAAUGUUAGCACAAGAUUAGCAUGGCUCUUGUGGAAAAGAUUACAUACAAAUUUGUGAAGUGUUCUAUAUUGUU
This 110-nucleotide small nuclear RNA is filed under the name Octodon degus (degu). Lineage: Eukaryota; Metazoa; Chordata; Mammalia; Rodentia; Octodontidae. The record is from RNAcentral.